ACUGGAGAGCGGUUGCUAACGGCAACCCACCGAAGGGGCAAGUAGCUAAAUGCUACGGAAACUCUCAGGUACACAGGACAGAGGGAG
RNAcentral lists this non-coding RNA (87 nucleotides) under Candidatus Oceanisphaera merdipullorum. RNAcentral's name for it is "Glycine riboswitch". It matches the Rfam family "Glycine riboswitch aptamer", at positions 11 to 84 of the family's 94-position model. Rfam says of the family: This family represents the bacterial glycine riboswitch. Glycine riboswitches usually consist of two metabolite-binding aptamers domains with similar structures in tandem. The record is from RNAcentral. Lineage: Bacteria; Pseudomonadati; Pseudomonadota; Gammaproteobacteria; Aeromonadales; Aeromonadaceae.